ACUCUCGUUGCUUUGGCGGGCCGCCGGGCCCUGCCCGGCCGCCGGCCCCGGCUGGCGCGUGCCCGCCAGAGACCUCACAGACUCUGAAUGUUAGUGUCGUCCGAGUAACUAUACAAUCGUUAAAACUUUCAACAACGGAUCUCUUGGUUCUGGCAUCGAUGAAGAACGCAGCGAAAUGCGAUAAGUAAUGCGAAUUGCAGAAUUCAGUGAGUCAUCGAAUCUUUGAACGCACAUUGCGCCCUGUGGUAUUCCGCAGGGCAUGCCUGUUCGAGCGUCAUUUCAACCCUCAAGCCUCGCUUGGUGUUGGGCCCUGCCCGCCGCGGCCGGCCCUAAAGAUAGUGGCGGCGCCGCCUGGCCCUCAGCGUAGUACAGCUCUCGCUCCAGGGUCCGGCGGCAGCCUGCCAGAACCCCCCAACUCUGUGGUUGACCUCGGAUCAGGUAGGGAUACCCGCU
Molecule: ribosomal RNA, 453 nt
Filed under: Oidiodendron maius
Lineage: Eukaryota; Fungi; Ascomycota; Leotiomycetes; Myxotrichaceae
Description: eukaryotic LSU rRNA
Rfam family: 5.8S ribosomal RNA (bases 124-277)
Source: RNAcentral